RNAcentral lists this long non-coding RNA (7270 nucleotides) under Lactuca sativa (garden lettuce). RNAcentral describes it as "long non-coding RNA (LSAT_LNC008574)". Lineage: Eukaryota; Viridiplantae; Streptophyta; Magnoliopsida; Asterales; Asteraceae. The record is from RNAcentral.
CAUACAUGAGAGCGGUUAGUAGGGGUUCCAUCUUUCACAUUAUGACCGUAAUAAAACACACAUAUGUUUUUAGGUUGUUAGUACCUCCGUAUGUCAUUAUAAACGACAUCAGGGUACUCAUUUCUCCCAUUACUUUCAUAAAGUGUCGAUAACACUUGAAGGUUGAUCUAUUCUCUAAUCGAGAUAGGUUAUAAACUAGGGAGAAUGUACUUUUCAGUUGACAAAGGAACAGUAGAGUCUUGGUAGAAGACUGCUUUCAUAACAGUAGGGUCUUGGUAGAAGACUGCUUUCAUAACAGUAGGGUCUUGGCAGAAGACUGCUUUCAAAACAGUAGGGUCUUGGUAGAAGACUGCUUCCAAAACAAUUGAGUCUUGGUAGAAGGCUACUUUUAAAAAGUUAGAACCAUGAUGCUAACCUUAUGAUUCCGUAAUGUAUACACUAUAGGAUACAUAUAUGUUAAGUAGAUUCUGACAGCUAAUAGGAUGUGUGUUCUUCGCUGUACGUCCUGUUCCCGUUGGAUGUGGGUUUACACCGAGGUCACCCAAUCUAUUAUCUACCCGAAUCUAUAUAUAUUUAUGCUUAGUAUACAUUAAGUCAUCAUAAGGGUACCAGGUAUGGAUCAGGUCAUAGGACAUAGGGUCAAUGCACAGUUUUUCUAGUACAAAACUUUCGUUUCAAAUUCAGUACUUUUGAUAUACAAAACUAGCGAUUUCCCAGUUAAGGGCUUAAUCCAUUUUUUUUAAGCCAGUACAGUUUUAAAGACUUUAAGUGAGUUAACUCUAUAAUACCAUAGUUUAUACGUCAUGUUUAUAUAUAAGACUAGUAUCCGAAAGCUAGUAGGAUGUGUGCUCUUCGCUGUACGUCCUGUUCCCGUUGGAUGUGGGCUUACACCGAGGUCACCCAAUCUACUAUCUACCCGAUAUCAAAUUAUAUAUAGUAGUAUAAACAAAGCUAUUAUAAAAGUAAUCACCAUAGUCAAUAUUUUAUUAUAAGAAAUAUAGGUUUUCUUAAAAGGAACUCUCCAUUAGAUAUAAAGGAACCAUUACAAAUAACUCCAUGAGUAACAAGUGAAUACACCAAGGUUAUAUAUGACAACGAUCUAACAACCAAUGGAAUAUGUGCUAUCCGCCUUACUUACUGUACCCCGUCGGGUUGUAGGUUGAGGGCAGAUGCGCAUAAUCGAUUGUUUGUUUACUCCAAGUAUAUAUAUCGUGUACCCACUUAUUACGCAUAGAAAGGCUUUUAGUGUCAUUUUAUUCAACUCCCAUUUUAAGUAGGAAAUAUAUGAUUUUCUAGAGGAACAGGAAAACUUUACAAAACAACACCUUACAGCUUACAAUACUUUACAUAUACAUUUUCAACCACAUUUUUAUAGCUUACUCACAUCACUAAAAUCUUAUGAACUCACCAGCUUAAUUGCUGAUCAACUCUUUCAAAUAACUUGUAUUCUCAGGAGACUAUUAGACAGGUGCUCGUGCUGGGACUUCAGAAGAUGGAGCAUUAUAGCUUCAAGUCUUGUUUUGUUAUUUGUUUAUGACUUCUAUGUUUUGUGAACACAUACAUUGUAAACACUUUCUUUCUAAAUGAAAUGGUUGUUCAUUACUUGCUUACCAUAUACAUAUCUCGUGAUACUUGACAUGACGUCCUCCACCCCCGAACGUUUCCGCCGUUCCGGUUUUGGGGUGUGACAGAUUGGUAUCAGAGCAUUGUUUAUAGUGAACUAAGUAUAUCAACCGAUAAAAGAUAUACGUCUAUAAAUACAAUGGGGCUUAAGUGCUCUGGAUAAUGAUAUAUUUUAGAUUAUAACUUCAAGUUAUAAAAAUAUACCUACUUGCUCAUACAUGUACAUAAUAGAACUAGGAUCACGAGGAGAACAGAACUAAAAGUAUUUAGAGGUUGGACACUUUCGUCAACCUGAACAGUUAUGUAAUCAUAGCUAGGAUCAAUAUAGCCUGAUCAACUAUAUUCAUUCGAGAUGUGACCAACAUGUGUUUGGGAAUGAUGUGGUGUUGCAACAGGGUUAAAACUUACCAGAACACCAGUCAAGAGAACGCCAGAACAAGUACAGUUAGAGUUAGAGUACUAUGGGAGUAUUCUAUGAUACGAUAGCGCGAUAACAAGUUUAGAACAUAACAAGUACAUUACGUUAGGAUACUAUAGGAGUAUUUUAGUCCAGAUACAUAACUUAUGUGAUAACUUAAAAGACCCUUGCGGAUAGGUCUAUAAUCUUACAGGGUAUAUUCAUAAAGUUUUAUAUAUAAUCAAGAUCUUAUAGACAUAGAAUCUGUGACCGACGCUUCGCUAUCCAUUCCUUUUAAGGAAGUAGUGUUGAGGUGGGAUUAAUUGUUCGAAGGUCUAUUUGAUAUUCAAUUAUAUACAAUACUAACUGGUAUACCUACUACAAUUAUAGGAAGAUUCUGUAAGGAUCACCCCCAUAAAGUUAUCUUAAAGUUCAUAGAUUCUUUAGUCACUUUCAUUCUCGCACGACAAGCCCAGAUAAACGUAACCACUCCCUCAUAGUAGACAACAGAAGAGUUCAGGAGGAACAAGGACAAACCAAUGAGAAGGUCUCAAGGAAAGAUCAUCCGAAGUAACCAAAAACGUCUUACGCGUCACACUAAUAAAUAUUAACUAGGUUAAUUUAGCGAGCGAGUGGAAACACUGCUCACAUUACAUGUGUCAAAAUUAUUUUCAUACAUGCAGCUGGUAACAGUUAUUCAGGAAACAGAUAUAAAUUCGAGGAUAGUUAUUUCAAAUUCAUAGAGUUUAUUUGGUAUAGACUCAUUUAUGAAUUAUUUCUAGAACCCUGUGGAAGUCAGGACCCGAUACAUCCAGAACUAGGAUAACCUUGUCUUUUCAGCUUUCGGCUUGUGUCCGUUGCUAUAGACUUAUUCCGUCUCAUCUUUGUUUUCUUUUAGCAAAGAUGCCUCCUCGCAGAUCACCCAGACACGCUACUCCAAUAACUCCCAUACCUUCUCCACAAAUCGAUGCAACAACUUUGAACGCUGCAGUGGCCGAGGCUGUGGCAACAACCAUGGCACAAUAUCACUCCACCGGUACUUGUGGAGGCGAAGCGCCUACCAAUUCUACUCAAGGUGAACUCCCUGUGCGCCAGGGAUAAUGCUCCUACAAAGACUUCACCAGAUGCCAACCAUUGCCCUUUAAAGGGACUGAAGGAGUCAUUGCCCCCAUGCAAUGGUUCGAGAAAACAGAGUCGGUUUUCGAUCUCUGAUUAUGCCCGUAAGGAAGCAAAGUGAAGUUUGCUGCCUGCACCUUCGAUGGCAAGGCCCUAACAUGGUGGAACAGCCAUGUUAAGUCACUGACCCUAUCAAUGGCAAACUUAAUAGGUUGGGAAAACCUAAAAGAGUUAAUGUGGGAAUAAUAUUGCCCGUUAGGCCAAAUUCAGAAACUGGAACAAGAGCUGUGGGAUCUCACUAUGGUCGGCUCAGACAUAGUGACCUACACAGACCAGUUCAUCGAACUAGCAGCUCUAUGCCCCGAGAUGAUUACUUCGGAGAGCAAGAAGAUAGAAAGGUACAUUUGGGGUCUGACUGCUCCGACCCAAGGGAAUGUAUUAUCUUCUAACCCAACCACGUUCGAAAGUGCUAAAUGCUUGCUCAGCGACUCAUCGAUCAUGGAGUCCGCCACAGCAUAAAAGUCCCUAUUGUCGAGUCAUCGAGGGAAGAGGACUAUAAUCAGAGGUCAGGGAACAAGAGGAAGUAGAAACAAACACCGCAAGACACCCCGCAAGAGCAACAAACGAGUACUAUGUACACCGCAAAGACACCUACCGUUUCAGAAUCUGCCAGUCGUUAUGCUGGAAACCUUCCAAAGUGUGGAAAGUGCAACUUUCACCACAUUGGAGUGUGCCGAGAAAUGCAGUGUCUGAACUGCCACAGAAAAGGACACACAGUCCGUUACUGCAGGGCACCGGCCCAACCGAUCUCCCAAGUCCUCGGAGUUGAAGAAAACCGAGCCUGUUAUGGUUGUAGUGAGAAUAGACACAUUAAGAGGGACUGCCCAAUAACCAAGAACUCAGGUGCGGAUGGACGUAUUCUGAUGAUCAUCGCAGGAGAAUCUACCCCGGAGUCGUCGUCGAGUAGUGGUACGUUUUUUAAAAUAGUAUUUACUUUUAAAAUUAAUUUAUAUUCAUAUAAGAUUAAAAUAUCGGGGAUGACACUUAAAAGUAACUAUAACAACUCAUACGUUGAAAUAGGUCGUAAAAUUCAAGAUAAAUAAAAGAUCCCUUAGAGAAGCUAUUAUGACUCACCAUAUACAUCAAAUUUGUGCGCAACUGAGAUGUUGCAGACUUAGAGUGAGUGACUCUGCUUAGGUCCCGUUCCUUAAUUGGUUGAGGAUUUGAGGUAAAGAUGCUCAGUCGACUGCCUGACUCAUCUUAAGUAUUCACAACUUGUAUAUGACGGGCGAUGGUAGUGGUACCAUGGGGGAUCAUAGUAUAAAAGUAUCCUUUCAGUAAGUAAAGCACUUUAUUUGUAUGUAUGCGCACAUAGCGGCAUGAUACGUAGGAGUGAAAAUUUCAAAAUAGAAAACAGGAAACUUGAGAACAGUUACAAGGACUACAUGGUUGAACAUGCGAGGAGUACAGUACCAAGCAUACCAGGGAUACAUCGUCGUUUAUCAGACGUUUCUUUCACUUGACCAAAACUUUGUUCGAUAUAGAGUUCGUUGUUUUCUUUCGUCAUGAGUUGGCGUGGUCCUCACCAUACUGAGUUCAUAAGUUCCUAUCGCCUCGAUCGGCAAAUUCUCGAAACUUUCUUCAUUCGUAUCGAAGGUCCGACCUAAACCUAAACUAUAUCUUUUGCAUUCUAAAUCCCUGAAGCACUCGUGCGAAGAGUACUUUGUCCUCCGAAGACUUAUCGUCAGAUAUCCGCAGACCGCCACGAAAUACCACUCGUCCAGCAGACCAAGUUCGAUCAUAGAGGCUAUGGACGAAUACAACCAGCCUAUUAUUUUGAAUGUAUAUGCAAUGGUGGUAUAUGAGAGUGAUUUCGCAGAUCUAGUAUGUGUGUUUCCGCCCUAUCUCCUGUUUUCCCCGUGGGUUGUGGACCUGGGGCAGAGUCGCACAUCCGACAGUCCUACUAAUCUUAAUCAUAUAUGGCUUGUAUACACGAGGUAAUGAUAGAUGGACCAAGUAUGAAUCCUAUCAUGAACACCAGGGCAACUGGUCAGGUCUACGAGUGAGUGUUCUACAAAGCAGAAGAGCUCAAUCCCUAUAGUAAUGUUAAUAGAUCUAAUUUCGGGACGAAAUUCAUUCUAACGGGGGGAUGAUGUGACAACCCAAAACAUUCCAUUCUGUUCAACCAUUCACUUCAAUAUAAGUUAAAACUAUUUCUGCUAACUUUCAAACUUUUUGGAAUAAGUUUGAUGGUUUAAAGUUAGUGCUUCAAGAGAUAUCAGGAGAGUGGAUACCCUAGGGUGUACUAAGUAGAAAAUCAUGCCCAAAACUUCAAGAGUUUUGAGUUUACGGUCCAAAAUGGAAUUGGGACCGUAAACCCAAAAGGCUAUAUAAGGGUGACUUAGUUAUUUUUAUCACUUUUUCACAAUUCCAAAGACUAGAGCCAAUUCUCUCUCAAGUAGCAUCCUGUUUUUCUUCAAGAUCUUCAACUAGUAAGUGUUUCUAGCCCUAUUAUCAUUAGAUCAAGUGUUAGACACCAAGAAAUCAUCAAGAUUCCCCAAGAACAAGGUGUUCACGACCCAAGAUCUUCUUGGACCGUGAACACUAAAAGUAAGGCUUAAAUGUGCCUUUUCUCCCUUUAGACCUUUAGAACAAGCAUAGAAGCAACCCCUAACAUGUUUAAACCAUAAGAGCCUCAAGAAAACACCCAAAUACCACAUGGAUAAGGGGUUUACGGUCCAAGAAUCUCCUUGGACCGUAAACACUAUAAAGGUUGCUAAAAGUGUGCCAAAGUGCCUUAAACUCUAGCCAAACCUUAGAAGCAAACAUGGAACCUUCCUUUGUUGUGUUUAGCACAAGAAAACCACAAAAAUGUCCUGUGAUUUGGUUUUUACGGUUUCGGGAGCUCCCAAAACCGUAAACACCCCAUUGAGGGUUUUAAUGCCUCAUGUUGCUUCCUUAAGCUUAGAAACUAGCCUAAACCUUUACCUAGAAGUGUUUGGACUUGAAAACUUCAUUUGACCAUAAACCAUUUGAGUUUACUACCGUAAACUCAAAGCCAUAUGAUCCAAAAACCGUAAACCCUAUAAAGGAGUGAUAUGUUGCCCUAAUCACUCCCUAAGGCUAAAACUUGAAGUUAGGAUGCUUCAAAAGGACUUCUAGGACUUCAACCCACCACAUGAUCAAUGUAACAUGAGUUUACGACCGUAAACUCAUGGGUUUACCACCGUAAACUCAAGUGGAGUUUUUUCCAAAACCGUAAACACCAUUAGUGCCAUUUCACUUCCCUUUGUUGAAUCACAUGUGAUUCCAACACCUAGCCAAGGUGUUUCCUAGUCCCGGAAGGUGUUAUCUUUCAUAUAGUUGUGUAUAAACACUAUAUUCAUGUCAAUAUGUGUCCUUACAUAUCAUUUAGGACUUACUGUGUCUCGGGACUUCAUUCGUGGAACUUCUCAUCCGUACACGCAUACCCCGUUUGAAUCACCCACAUCAGGUGAGUUCAUACCCCGUAAUGAAUCUUUUAACUAUUUUAAUUGUUUUAAGGGGGAAAUACAAGUUGAACACAAUGUUAAUUGUUUAAAUGUUUGUUAUAAACAUCUUUCAAAAUGUUACUUAUGUUAUUUAUAAGUUGUUAAAACAUUUCAAAACUCUUCUAAAGGUUAUGUUACUUUAUAGUUAUACAAAACUCCAUUUUUAAAGUAUAAGCAUAACUUUGUAGAUAAAUGAGUCUUUUCAGUAUCAGUCCAGUUAGAACAUUAGUAAACUAUUAUAGGUAUAGUUUAGGAGAAUGCUAUUCAUUACUUCUAGUACAAUGAAGCACACACAGAACAGAACAGAACAGAACAGAACAGAACAGAACAAAACAAANAUGGAUUUGCUCGGGUCGCGUAUGGUUCCCUCAAUCUCCAUACAUGAGAGCGGUUAGUAGGGGUUCCAGCUUUCACAUUAUGACCGUAAUAAAACACACAUAUGUUUUUAGGUUGUUAGUACCUCCGUAUGUCAUUAUAAACGACAUCAGGGUACUCAUUUCUCCCAUUACUUUCAUAAAGUGUCGAUAACACUUGAAGGUUGAUCUAUUCUCUAAUCGAGAUAGGUUAUAAACUAGGGAGAAUGUACUUUUCAGUUGACAAAGGA